GACGUAGGUGGCAAACGUUAUCCGGAAUUAUUGGGCGGAAAGGGUGCGUAGAUGGCAUGAUAAGUUAUUGGUGGUAAAUCGAGGCUCAACCUCGUGGAAACUGGUAAUACUGUCAUACUUGAGUGCAGAAGAGGUUAACGGAACUCCCUGUGGAGCGGUAAAAUGUGAAGAUAUAGGGAAGAACACCAAUAACGGCGAAGGCAGUUAACUAUUCUGCUACUGACAUUGAGGCACGAAAGCGUGGGGAGCAAAACGG
This 256-nucleotide ribosomal RNA is filed under the name uncultured bacterium. RNAcentral describes it as "partial 16S ribosomal RNA". It matches the Rfam family "Bacterial small subunit ribosomal RNA", at positions 524 to 776 of the family's 1533-position model. The record is from RNAcentral.